Molecule: ribosomal RNA, 393 nt
Filed under: Oithona sp.
Lineage: Eukaryota; Metazoa; Arthropoda; Copepoda; Cyclopoida; Oithonidae
Description: partial small subunit ribosomal RNA
Rfam family: Eukaryotic small subunit ribosomal RNA
Source: RNAcentral
AUUCCAGCUCCAAUAGCGUAUAUUAAAGUUGUUGCGGUUAAAAAGCUCGUAGUUGGAUCUCGGCGGGCAGGGGGUGGUUCGCUCUUCAGCGCUACUGCCCCGCUUUGCCCGUGUGAUUGGCGGAGGUUUCGGGGUGCUCUUCGUUGAGUGACUCGGAGCGCCGUCAGGUUUACUUUGAAAAAAUUAGAGUGCUCAAAGCAGGCUUUUCACGCUUGAAUAUUCGUGCAUGGAAUAAUGGAAUAGGAACUCGUUUCUAUUUUGUUGGUUUCUAGAGCUGAGGUAAUGAUUGAUAGGGAUAGUUGGGGGCAUUCGUAUUUAACUGUCAGAGGUGCAAUUCUUGGAUUUGUUAAAGACGGACUACUGCGAAAGCAUUUGCCAAGGAUGUUUUCAUUG